Molecule: long non-coding RNA, 859 nt
Organism: Sycon ciliatum
Lineage: Eukaryota; Metazoa; Porifera; Calcarea; Leucosolenida; Sycettidae
Exons: 2
Source: RefSeq, a predicted model, not a curated record
UCAAGUUCUAUACCCUUCCAGGUACCCUGAAGGUCCUCCAGAGGAGAAUUUAUCUCCAGCGAAGCGUUGUUGAUCCGCUAAAUCCGUCUCGAGACAUAUUCACCCAGUGCAGUGCUGAUAAAUGUAGAAUGUUGAAUCUGUGAUAAUUGUUGACGAUGGAGAGAGAGGCUGAUAGCCGCUGUCGCAGGGAGAGUGAAGCUGCUGGAAGUAACAACGGGGAGCCCGUUUGUAUCACCUGAACAACCAGACUUCAAAGCAGCUUGACCAAAUCGGAGGGUGCCUCGGUGCUUAUCGUGAAUAUUACACCGACAUGAAUUACUACAAGUACACUGGUCUGUCCAAUAUGCAUUGACGGUAUUGGGUAUGGUAUCUGCUCUGAGAAGGGAAUCGCUGGAGCCACAGUCCAACUAGACAGGCUUUCAAGAAACAGAGAGGAUCCAUCUUUCCAAGCUGAUACCUGAUGUGUACCGACAGAAUUCUCACGAGAUACCUUACGGACAACGUGUGGUGUGUACUUCAUAGUACUCCUUCGACUACUAUCUAGAAUCAAGUCGACCGAAACAAGUCAAACAACUCUGGCUUCAAACGAGCCGUCGAUUAGACAAACAAAACAUUCUCUCAUAUACUGGAGCACUCUGACAACUCACGACCUAUUCCUAACGAUUUCCACCGCUUAUACAUAUGUAGAGUGCUGAUUGGAAUGUGCUCACAAUCUCAACAAUUCAGUGCUAUAAUUAUUUGAACAAUGUGUUAGAAAUUAUUCCACUUUUCCUUCCAUAAAUGUUGUAUCCACAUAUAAUCCACAGUGCUCCGAAGUUUCAGAGUUCUCAGGGUAUCAAACAAAAUUAUUUCAAAUACA